RNAcentral lists this unclassified non-coding RNA (248 nucleotides) under Hevea brasiliensis (rubber tree). Lineage: Eukaryota; Viridiplantae; Streptophyta; Magnoliopsida; Malpighiales; Euphorbiaceae. The record is from RNAcentral.
UUGAAGGUAUAUAUAUAGGAAAAUCCGAGCAUUUAUUGCGGGCGGAAAACGAAGCGAAUGCCUCAGAAAUCGAGGGAAUAAAUGCUUUGACUGAACCGGACCGGAUGAAGGAAGAGACUGGAGUAGGAGAGAUCGGAAAAGAGGAGCUCGACAUAAGAGAUCGGAAAAGCAUCAUGUUGGAAAGACCGGAAAGGAGGGGAGAUCGGAAAACAAAGAGAAUAAGACGCCUACCGCUGUCGUCAUAAUUA